Oryza sativa Japonica Group (Japanese rice) is the source of this 207-nucleotide microRNA precursor. It matches the Rfam family "MIR812 microRNA precursor family". The record is from Rfam. Lineage: Eukaryota; Viridiplantae; Streptophyta; Magnoliopsida; Poales; Poaceae.
AAAAAGACAAACCCUAGAUUUCCGUGCCAACAUUUGACCGCCCGUCUUAUAUGAAUUUUUUUUAUAAUUAGUAUUUUUAUUGUUGUUAGAUGAUAAAACAUGAUUAAUACUUUAUGCGUGACUUAUUUUUUUAAUUUUUUUUCAUAAUUUUUUUAAAUAAGACGGACGGUCAAACGUUGGACACUGGAACCAGGGUCUGUCUUUUUU